AGGGCACCCCCAGUAAUGGAGCCUGCACUUUAAUUUUUCUCGACACGGAAAAACUCGCCCGGCCCGGACACGGUAAGGAUUGACCGACUGAGAGCUCUUUCUUGCUUCGUGGGUUGGUGACGCAUGGCCGUUCUUAGGUGAAGGAGGUAUUUGCUGGGGUGCUUCCCAUAUCAAACGAUUCUCUCGCCUACUAAAUCGAUCGCUGAUCGGAUCCUAGGCCGAGAUUCUGACAGGGCCAAGGGGCGCCUAACCGCAUGAAACAGAGGAGUAACGGGGCUGGGAUGUUGUUAGAUGUCCGGCUCCGCACGCCCGCGACACUGAAAGAAGCCGCGUGCGCGUACGCCUGGCCCGGACGGACCGGUCAACCCGAUGAAAUUCUUUCGCGCUUGGAACAGGGAAUUGCAAUUACUUCACUUGAACAAGGAAAUCCCAGGAAAUGCCCCUCAUAAGCUCGCGUGGAUUAUCUCCCGGUCCUUUGCAGACGCUGCCCGUCUCUGCUACCGAUUGUAUGACUUAGUG
This 519-nucleotide ribosomal RNA is filed under the name uncultured eukaryote. RNAcentral describes it as "bacterial SSU rRNA". It matches the Rfam family "Eukaryotic small subunit ribosomal RNA", at positions 1161 to 1703 of the family's 1831-position model. The record is from RNAcentral.